UGUGUUCCAGAUGUUGCUAUUAGGGAGACAUCUGUAAAACGUGUUCGUCUUUUUCAGACGUAGCGUUCAACUUAGCUCGUUUCCAUGGCAACGCCAGCCGCGCUACUCUCAAACUGACGAUGGUGACGGUGGAUGAGGGCCAAGAAUGACCGGCUAACGACUGGACCACGUGUGUAGGUACUCUCUGCCUUACAGUGUACGUUUGUUCAACCUUUAAUUGUGAUGUAUGGGUCACCUGACAGGAAGGUUUUAGUGUUGUCACUAUUUCAUUAUGAUACAAAAGUUAUGUGUUUUGUGCAGAGGCUCAAGAGGUGCACACAGUAACACAGUGCUUUAAAUAUGUUAAUCUGGAUGCUAAGCAGAGAUAAAUAAAGGACAUACAACCAUGUUCAAUAACAGUGAUAACUGUACUUUGACAGAGGUUAACACUCACAUCUAAGGCUCCAACAACAAAGGGUUGUCUUUGCUGACUGCAUUAGCUGCAGAGAAAUAUUUUUAUGCUUUCACUUUACUAGAGAUGCUGAACCAGAACAAGAUGCUUCAGUCCGAGUAACCCAGACCCAAGCAAAAGGUGAAAUCCACCAGACGACCCAACUGCAGGAACCACCGCUGAACCAUCACUUGUAGUAAGAAUGAAAUUAUCUUCAAAUUAGCUUCUUCAUAUUCUGCUCUUUACUCCAUGUUCUACUGAAGCAAAAUUUUUCAUUUUGGUUUAGGUACAGCUGUGGAGACUGGAAAGCUUUAUUAUCCAGGGUUUCCUUGACAACAGAGACCAGAUAAUGACCAUAGGACCUGGAAAGACCUGUGUUGCAGGAGGCUCGGUGCACCUCCAGUCAAGAUGAAGAGGAGCCUCAGGAUCCCAAACACAUAGAGGAAGUGACUGAAUCUUCCUCUGUGCUGCUGGGUUUGGAAACUCUUCAACUCACUGUGGCCAAGUUGCUCUGAGCAGAAGCCAGUCAAGAUGAGACUUCUCCAAUGUAGAAACAUCGAGCACAUGCUUCAAUAAAUCAAUUUUAUGUUA
Long non-coding RNA from Betta splendens (Siamese fighting fish), 1021 nucleotides. RefSeq lists it as uncharacterized. Lineage: Eukaryota; Metazoa; Chordata; Actinopteri; Anabantiformes; Osphronemidae. The record is from RefSeq and is a predicted model, not a curated record. The transcript is spliced from 3 exons.